RNAcentral lists this ribosomal RNA (115 nucleotides) under Chinchilla lanigera (long-tailed chinchilla). The record is from RNAcentral. Lineage: Eukaryota; Metazoa; Chordata; Mammalia; Rodentia; Chinchillidae.
AACACAAUGAAACUAUUUUGUUUUGUGAUCUUCUCUGAUCCCAGAAGCUAAGUGAGGUAAGGCCAGAUUAGCAUCUGAAUGGAAGACCGCCUCAGAACAACAGGCGCUGUUGUUU